GCCAUGUCCUUUAACCUUGCAGCCGGCUGACUGCUGGCUGAGAACAUGACCCCAAAUAGACCUGUUUCCCUUUGGUUUGUGCGGAUCAAAGGCUGGUCCCGGCACCAGAAAAGUGACUACGGCAAGUGGUAGCCGAAACUGUCUCACCGCCUGGAGUCAGCGUGUGCAGGAAUUUGGGUGGCUCCCCUCACUUACCCUCUGCAAAAUAUCCUGACUCUUCUGUAAGACUCUACGGAAGGGAGACUUGCUACCCCAGGGCAAAGGAAACACUGCAUUUGAACUAUCACAGUUUUUGUCCUUCUUGUUGACCAUUUGUUCCCCCAGAUUAAAAUGACAAUGUCAUGGUGAGUGCACGAAAACUGAGCAGCAAGAGCAACA
This 378-nucleotide long non-coding RNA is filed under the name Chinchilla lanigera (long-tailed chinchilla). Its description in RNAcentral is "lncRNA (ENSCLAG00000022656.1)". Lineage: Eukaryota; Metazoa; Chordata; Mammalia; Rodentia; Chinchillidae. The record is from RNAcentral.